UCAAAUGCUCAUCCUUGCUUAAACUAAAUGUUUUCAGUUACGUACGAUCGACCUGAAGGCUCAGGCACGAACAAGGGAAAAGAAAAGCUGUUCGAAUGAGAUUUAGUAUGAGUUAAUGGUUAUAGUUAGUAAGACAAUGGAAUCUAUUGUCAGGUAUUGUAAGGAAUGUAUUUUGAAGGUCACGUACCUGGGAAAGUAAACUUUGAUGUAUGUAAAUUAAGUUCGAAUGUAUUAUUAUUUAGUAUUAUUCAGCUUAAAGAAUUGGUAUCGUGGAGAACCGAGUUCGGGUU
This 290-nucleotide long non-coding RNA is filed under the name Panax ginseng (ginseng). RNAcentral describes it as "long non-coding RNA (PGIN_LNC002631)". Lineage: Eukaryota; Viridiplantae; Streptophyta; Magnoliopsida; Apiales; Araliaceae. The record is from RNAcentral.